GUCGAACGGUAACAUUUCUAGCUUGCUAGAAGAUGACGAGUGGCGGACGGGUGAGUAAUGCUUGGGAACUUGCCUUUGCGAGGGGGAUAACAGUUGGAAACGACUGCUAAUACCGCAUAAUGUUCUACGGACUCGGUCCGAAGGACCAAACGGGGCUUCGGCUCCGGCGCAAAGAGAGGCCCAAGUGAGAUUAGCUAGUUGGUAAGGUAACGGCUUACCAAGGCGACGAUCUCUAGCUGUUCUGAGAGGAAGAUCAGCCACACUGGGACUGAGACACGGCCCAGACUCCUACGGGAGGCAGCAGUGGGGAAUAUUGCACAAUGGGGGAAACCCUGAUGCAGCCAUGCCGCGUGUGUGAAGAAGGCCUUCGGGUUGUAAAGCACUUUCAGUUGUGAGGAAAAGUUAGUAGUUAAUACCUGCUAGCCGUGACGUUAACAACAGAAGAAGCACCGGCUAACUCCGUGCCAGCAGCCGCGGUAAUACGGAGGGUGCGAGCGUUAAUCGGAAUUACUGGGCGUAAAGCGCACGCAGGCGGUUUGUUAAGCUAGAUGUGAAAGCCCCGGGCUCAACCUGGGAUGGUCAUUUAGAACUGGCAGACUAGAGUCUUGGAGAGGGGAGUGGAAUUCCAGGUGUAGCGGUGAAAUGCGUAGAUAUCUGGAGGAACAUCAGUGGCGAAGGCGACUCCCUGGCCAAAGACUGACGCUCAUGUGCGAAAGUGUGGGUAGCGAACAGGAUUAGAUACCCUGGUAGUCCACACCGUAAACGCUGUCUACUAGCUGUGUGUGCCCUU
RNAcentral lists this ribosomal RNA (790 nucleotides) under uncultured bacterium. RNAcentral's name for it is "bacterial SSU rRNA". It matches the Rfam family "Bacterial small subunit ribosomal RNA", at positions 61 to 833 of the family's 1533-position model. The record is from RNAcentral.